This 224-nucleotide unclassified non-coding RNA is filed under the name Hevea brasiliensis (rubber tree). Lineage: Eukaryota; Viridiplantae; Streptophyta; Magnoliopsida; Malpighiales; Euphorbiaceae. The record is from RNAcentral.
AAUCAGCAGAUGAUAGAUAGAGAUUAUUUAUUUAUUUCUUGGAAUUUGGAGUUGGUGGUGUCUAGCUGAGGGACUAUGACUUCCGGGACUAGGUUACCAACAUGGAACGAAAGAGAGAACAACAAGAGGAGAGAAAGGAGAAGGAGAGCAAUAGCAGCAAAGAUCUUCGCAGGACUAAGGAUGUACGGUAACUAUAAGCUUCCUAAGCACUGUGACAACAACGA